Molecule: non-coding RNA, 168 nt
Filed under: uncultured Coprococcus sp.
Lineage: Bacteria; Bacillati; Bacillota; Clostridia; Lachnospirales; Lachnospiraceae
Description: Lysine riboswitch
Rfam family: Lysine riboswitch aptamer
About the family: Riboswitches are metabolite binding domains within certain messenger RNAs that serve as precision sensors for their corresponding targets. Allosteric rearrangement of mRNA structure is mediated by ligand binding, and this results in modulation of gene expression.
Source: RNAcentral
UGAGUAGAGGCGCAUAUUAUAUGAGUAGAUUCCGGGAUGCAGUCAGGUGCAGGCGAACGGGAAGGAAAGGGUAAUAUGCCGAAGUUUUAUAUUUCCUGGAGAAUAUAUUGCUGGGCAUGCAGUUAAGAACUGCAUGACUGUCAUCUUUUUGAUGGAGUGCUGCUUGAA